This 69-nucleotide transfer RNA is filed under the name Hemitheconyx caudicinctus (African fat-tailed gecko). RNAcentral's name for it is "tRNA-Met". Lineage: Eukaryota; Metazoa; Chordata; Lepidosauria; Squamata; Eublepharidae. The record is from RNAcentral.
AGUAUAGUCAGCUAAAAAAGCUCUCAGGCCCAUACCCUGAAAAUGUCGGCACCAAUCCUCCCUAUACUA